CAACCCCUCUACUUCUUCCAUUUAAAAUUGGCCAAAUUCAUGAUGUCAUUGUCUGUUAUUACAUUAUGAUCAGUUGCUACAAGGUCUGCAGCGCGGUGUGUUUAGGGGAAGUUAGAAAAAAGUGUGAAAGACGACAGGAACAAGCGUCACAAACAUGAUGUCUCUGUGUGUGUUCAGACCUGUGCUUCUCACUCUGACUCUUCUGCUCUGCUCAGGAUCAGUCUCAACUCUAUCAGAGUUUGUGGAAGAGGGAGGAAGUGUCACUUUGCCCUGUAAAAAUUUGAGAGAAGGACAAAAAGAAUGUGAUGGAACCACAUGGGUUUUUAACUCAGUUGAAAAACCACAAGAAACUAUAGAACUUAUUAUGAAGGGAAAGAAUGGCUCCCGUGUCCCACAAACUCUGUCCAAUCGACUCAGAGUGACACAGAAGUGUGAUCUGCAGAUUCACAAUGUUCACCCUCAGGAAGCUGGACUCUUCUCCUGUCAACAAUACGACCAAUCAAGACGUUUCCUGUAACCUGAGGCUACUGUGUCUCUGUCUGUUGUCUCAUUGACUAAAGAAGAAUAUGAGGAGGCAGUUCAGUUAAGAUGUACUGUGUCCUCUUCUCUUCCUGAUGUCAAACCAAAAUGGCUGCUCAACGGCCAAAACGUCAAAGAUCUACGAUUAACCACAAUAGACCUUCGAGGCAGGAAUCAUUGUUACAGUU
Long non-coding RNA from Boleophthalmus pectinirostris (great blue-spotted mudskipper), 707 nucleotides. RefSeq lists it as uncharacterized. NCBI's taxonomy places the organism in Eukaryota, Metazoa, Chordata, Actinopteri, Gobiiformes, Gobiidae. The record is from RefSeq and is a predicted model, not a curated record. The transcript is spliced from 3 exons.